GUCCCUGUAGCGCAAUGGAUAGCGUGUUGGACUUCUAAUCCAAAGGUCGUUGGUUCGAAUCCCCCCCGGGAUG
Molecule: transfer RNA, 73 nt
Filed under: Trichonephila inaurata madagascariensis
Lineage: Eukaryota; Metazoa; Arthropoda; Arachnida; Araneae; Nephilidae
Rfam family: tRNA
About the family: Transfer RNA (tRNA) molecules are approximately 80 nucleotides in length.
Source: Rfam by way of RNAcentral